This 5945-nucleotide long non-coding RNA is filed under the name Setaria italica (foxtail millet). Its description in RNAcentral is "long non-coding RNA (SITA_LNC007451)". Lineage: Eukaryota; Viridiplantae; Streptophyta; Magnoliopsida; Poales; Poaceae. The record is from RNAcentral.
AGAUGCAGGAGGAGAGCGCCUACAACAGGCUGCUCAAGGAUCUGGAGCAGAUGCAGGAGGAGAUCGUCAACAAGUACCGCGACAAGGUGCUCAAGGAUCUAGAGCAGAUGACGGGAGGAGAUCGUCAACAAGUGCCUCCACCUGCCGGUGGCCAAGGGCUUCGCCGACCUCGAACCCUUGCCGGAUGCUCCUCCACCUCAGGAGGAGGAGAAUCGAAGGAUGCUGCUCCUGGACAUGGUACCUUGGUAUUCAGGGUAGGCUCUUCUACUUCUACAUAUUAAUUAAACCAAGUUAGAUUCCAGAUGAGACCAAAAGAAAACAUCAGACAUCCUCAUUGUUAAUUUAUACAGGACAUCAGCUGAUUUAUUCAAGACAGCAUUUGAUCUUAUGGUCUCUGUGACUCUUUUUGUUGGGCGAUUUGACAUGCGCAUGAUGCAGGUAAGGGGUGCUUGUUCUUGAUGUAAGGUGAUCCAAUGUAAAAUCCACAGUAUUUUCCCCUGUAAAGUUGACCUCCAAAAUGUUGUACCUGUUCAUUUAAUGUUGAUACUUUGUUAACUGCAAUGUCUCUGCAUCUUUGUACAUCUCUGUGUUCAAACAUUUUUUAUUUUUCAAACCAUUUUUUAUAUCCUUCUGUAGGCUGCAAUGAAAGGACCAACAGAUGACGCGCAGAAUGCUGACCUGUUAUAUGACUACUUCAAUGAAAGGGAAGACCUUUGGUUUGACUUUGUUGCAGACACUGGUGAUGGAGGAAAUUCAUCAUAUACAGUUGCUCGACUGUUAGCUCAACCAUCUAUUAGGACUGUAAUUGGUGGCUCUAUGCAUACUCUUCCACGUGGGAACUUACUUCUUAUCGGUGGAGAUCUCGCGUAAGAUUUUAUCAUAUUUAAUUAUACAUGGUUCUUCUCUGCAGUCAAUCUACAAGUGCAUAACUGCAUAUUCACAAUGCAUCUCUCUGUUGACUUUUUCUUGGCAAUUAGGACUGUACAAUUCACUGCAUCUUGAUACCUUGGAAAUUAAGUCACUUAAAUUCUAACUAAGUGUUGGAAGAUCUAUUUAGGCUGUUAACAACUUGGUUGAGCUUUUGUCCUAUAUUUGGAAGAAAGUGUUAUGUUAUUGAUCUCUGUGCACCACAAUAUUUUGCAUUUUGCAUCUUCCCUGCUUAAUUGAUAGGCAGAGCUACCGCAUUAUGCUCUGAAACCAAAGAUUACAUUAGUCGCAUCCAUAUGAAUCAUGAUAUUCUUCUUCUUCGGAGAUAAAGAUCUGAUAUUAUUUUUGAAUAUAUGAUUCUUUGUGCCUGGUAUCAGUUGGAAUUCUCCAUUCCAUCAGGCCCAUAUAGCUGAACCUGUUUCUAGCUCUUGUAUGGCCUGUAGCCAGCAGACAUUUCAAUCUGCUAUUGCUUCCACCCUGAGAUCCAUAUCUUUAUUGCCCAUACAUAGUGGUACAAUCUAUAAACUAGACAAGAUUUAGCCCAUUAUAUUAGUGCAUUGUAGAUCUGUCAUCUUGGAAUCUUGGAAUUUGCAGGUACCCAAACCCUUCAUCAUUUACAUAUGAGAGGCGCUUCUUUAGGCCCUUUGAGUAUGCUCUGCAACCUCCACCUUGGUAUAGGGCUGAACAUAUAGCUCUGGAUAAGCCUGAGCUUCCUCCCGGUGUAUCAAAGAUGUCUGAAUAUGAUGGGCCACAGUGUUUUAUAAUUCCUGGAAACCAUGGUCUGUUAACAUUCUUGAUCAAUCUAAUCUAUCUAAUUUGACUUUAUUUCUUGUGUACUUGAUCAAUUAUGUAAGGAAUAUGAUGCGUGCUUGUAUUGAUUUCUUAAUUGUGACUUGUUUUUAACAGACUGGUUUGACGGGCUGCACACAUUUAUGAGAUAUAUAUGUCACAAAAGCUGGUUAGGUGGAUGGUUUCUGCCUCAGAAGAAGAGCUAUUUUGCAUUGCAGCUUCCCAAGGGUUGGUGGAUCUUUGGUCUUGAUUUAUCUCUUCAUGGUGACGUUGAUGUGUACCAAUUCAAGUUUUUUGCAGAUCUUUGUCAGAAAAAGGUGCAUUUUUCUUCACGUGCUUGCCCCUUUUUCUUCACUUGCUUGCCCCCCCCCCCCCCCCCCGAAAUGGUAGCGGGAAUUUGCUUCAUUUGUGCCUUUUUUUUUGGUUUCAUGUGGUUCAACAUGCAGUGAUUAAUUGCUUUAAGUCUUCAAACAUGUAUGUUUAAUAUUAGGAUGUAUAGUAAAACAAAAAAAAUGUUGACAAAAGAUUCUUUGCAGUCUUAGGCCCUUUUGCAUUCUAGUUGGAAAGAUACUCAUGUAUGUUUCCAGAAUAUCUCUUGGAAGUUGUGGCUAAUAUUUUAAUUUCCAGAUUUGAUUGAUCCGCUAUAAUACUAAAGUUCUGCAGGUUGGGGAGAAUGACUCUGUGAUUGUAGUGACACAUGAGCCAAACUGGCUUCUUGAUUGGUACUGGAAGGAGACUACAGGCAAGAAUGUCUCACAUUUAAUUCAGGAAUACCUGAAUGGAAGAUGUAGACUUCGCAUGGCGGGGGAUUUACACCAUUUUAUGAGGCAUUCUGCCACUCGAUCAGAAAAGCCUAAUUUUGUGCAACACUUGCUUGUCAAUGGAUGUGGUGGCGCCUUUUUGCACCCAACACAUGUUUUUAGAAACUUUGAGAGGUUCUCUGGAACCACCUAUGAAUGCAAGGCAGCUUAUCCAUCUUAUGACGAGUCUAGUGGGGUAUGUUACUCCCUAUGUUGAAGUAUUUUUUUUUCUUUUUAGCUUAUUGAUCAGCUUAACAUGCUUGUGUGAAUUGUUAGAUGAGCAAGAUCUAAUUUACAAAAUUCACAGAUUGCACUGGGUAACAUACUGAAGUUCCGCAAGAAGAAUUGGCAGUUUGAUACUAUUGGUGGUUUUAUCUACUUUAUAUUGGUGUUUUCAAUGUUCCCACAGGUCAGUUACAGAUUCCCAAAGCUGCCAUUUUCUUUAAACUAUUAUCCUUUCUCGCACUUCAUAAUUAGUAACUGUUGGUGUUUGUUUGUAAUAGUAAACUUGAACGUUUAAAUUCCUUCCUUUUUCCUCAUUUUUUUUACAAAUUGAAACCUUGAAGCACUGGACAUGUCUCUAUUUUUCAUUGUGCAAUUGUUCUAAUUUGUCUUUAAAUAACUGAGCUCUGCUUUAUUACUAGUCUCUCUAUUAAAUUAUUUAAACAUCUCUUGAAGGCCGUAUAACUUUCCAAUCAUGGACCAUGCAAUUUAUUUCAAAAUAUUCAUAUAUCAACAUGAACAACCAACAUCGUCAAAGGGCUGAGUUCAACUCAUCCCCUCAAGGACUAAACAACCGAGAACAGGCUAAUUAAUCAUCAUCAGUUGGAUUGUACCAGUCCCUGGCUGACCACCAGUAGCAAAUUAUUUUCCUAGGCAGAAUUUACUAAGUUCUGCUUGUCAAUUAAGUAGAAUUUGCACAUCCUUUGCAAGUUCUGCUUGUCAAUUUAGUAGAAGUUGCACAUUUUUUUCUUUCUUUGAACCUGCCCCUAAACGUGCUGACCUCUGUUGUGAAUUUAUUGUUUGAUGUUCAUGUUUACCUUUUCUUAUAAUGUAACUGAUGUGCAGUGAUGCUUAUACAUCUUGAAGCAUGUUCAUUGACCCAAAGUCAGUCAGUCAAUAUUGUUCAUAACCAGCCUCAGAGGCGUACUUUGCAUCACAUAAAUCAUCCUGUUACUUUUUUUGAUCUCUUGGUUGGCUACUGGUUUCAGUUUCUUGUUAUUGUUGUUCUCUUCCAUUUUUUAACUGCACACUCAGUCACCUAUUAUUGCCUGGAAGUUCAAUCAAUUUGUACUCAUAUUCUUACUUAUAUUUCUACUUGUUCCAGUGUAAUCUUGUUCACAUCUUCAAUGAAGAAACUUGGUCUGGGCGUGUGAAAAGCUUCUCAAGUACAAUAUGGAGUGCUUUGCUUUAUAUUUUUGAACACUCUUAUGUCUCUUCAGUAGCAAGUCUAACUUUAUUGAUGGCAUCAUAUUCAUUUGUACCAUCGAAACUCUCACGGAGGAAAAGAGCUAUUAUAGGCGGCCUCCAUGUUUUGGCCCAUUUAACUGCAGCUCUACUUUUAAUGUUGCUGCUGGAGUUGGGCAUUGAAAUUUGUAUCCGGAAUCAUUUAUUAGCAACUUCAGGUAUGCCAUACAAUACUGUGUUUCCUAAAUUCUUGCUGUAGAUGAUAGAUAAAGAUCCAUUCAAAGGUGAAAGCUGUGAAUACAUUUUUUUUGUAGGUUAUCACACUCUAUAUGAAUGGUAUCGGUCCAUGGAAAGUGAGCAUUUUCCAGAUCCUACUGGUCUUCGUUCUCGUUUGGAACAAUGGACGCUGGGACUGUACCCAGCAUGUAUAAAAUACCUUAUGUCGGCCUUUGAUGUCCCUGAGGUAAUAAGACUUUCUGGAAAUGCUGCAGUGCACCUAUCUAAACGUCUUUUGAGGAUUGAAUUUGCACUUGUAGUUUAAAUGUGAUCUACUUUAAAGAAUUUAAGUAUGUAGUAUGAGCAAUAAAUUAUCACAUAAUGGAAGCAAAGGAUCAAAAUCUUACAGUUUAGGUUUUAUGUGGUACAGAUUAAUUUGUUAAAGUUUCUCUCCUUUUUUACCAAGCAUCUAACUGCAUAUACCAUUGCACAGGUCAUGGCAGUGACAAGGAUAAAUAUCUGCAAGAAUGGGAUGAUGUCCCUUUCACGAAGCGUUCUGAUCAUGUACUACACCUCUGUGUUCAUCUAUUUCUGGAUUUUCUCGACUCCAGUUGUUUCCCUCAUAUUUGGUAGCUACCUAUACAUUUGCAUCAACUGGUUCCACAUUCAUUUCGAUGAAGCCUUCUCAUCACUGCGCAUCGCGAACUACAAAUCUUUCACGAGGUUUCAUAUUAAGAAGGAUGGUGAUCUGGAAAUAUUUACUCUUGCAGUUGACAAGGUAACAGAUUAACCCGCUUCUAUUGCUCUGAUUUGCUUAGUUAGAUAUAUGUUGCCUUAUAUAUAUCUGUAGAUUGUUCUUCUGAUAUGCAAAGCAAAAUGCAUAUAUAUUUUUGCUCUUCUGUGAGCAAACACAGGUCCCAAAGGACUGGAAGUUGGAUCCAAGAUGGGAAUCAGAUGUAAGAGGGCCUCAUCAGCUCAGCCAUGAACGGAAACACCCAAGCAAGUGGAGGUCAGCCUCAUCACCGGACCCUGUCAGAUCUGUACGGGUUGUUGACCAUUUCACCAUUGAACGAACAAGAACCCCAGAUAUGGAGCCCUCUUGUUAAUUCUGCACGCCGUUUUUGUUGUGAGGGGUUGCUAGCUAGAGAAAUUAACAAUAACUGUUGUUUCUUCUUUUCUUUUUGCUUUUAUUUUAAAAAAAAACUGGGUCUAGGUGACUUAGGUUGACAUAGGUUAUCUGCCUUGCAUCCACUUUACUGGCCUUACCUGUAUAGAUAUUCACCUGUCUAGUAAAUGUAUGGAAUGUUUACUGUUGCAACACAUUGUCAAAUCAUGGACUAAUUAGGCUUAAUAGAUUCGUCUCGCCGUUUAGCCUCCGCUUAUGUAAUGGAUUUUGUAAAUAGUUUACGUUUAAUACUCCUAAUUAGUAUCUAAAUAUUCGAUGUGACGAGGAUCUGGAGCAGAUGCAGGAGGAGAGCGCCUACAACAGGCUGCUCAAGGAUCUGGAGCAGAUGCAGGAGGAGAUCGUCAACAAGUACCGCGACAAGGUGCUCAAGGAUCUGGAGCAGAUGACGGGAGGAGAUCGUCAACAAGUGCCUCCACCUGCCGGUGGCCAAGGGCUUCGCCGACCUCGAACCCUUGCCGGAUGCUCCUCCACCUCAGGAGGAGGAGAAUCGAAGGAUGCUGCUGCUGAUGGCGAGUCUCAACAUUGACAGUCAAAUAUAGCUACAAGCUAGCCUGUUACAAGUCUACAACGUAACUGUUUUGGCUGUAUCUGCAUGCUUUUGUGUGGAUUUCUUUGAUUAU